This 439-nucleotide ribosomal RNA is filed under the name Shigella flexneri. Its description in RNAcentral is "bacterial SSU rRNA". It matches the Rfam family "Bacterial small subunit ribosomal RNA", at positions 1007 to 1446 of the family's 1533-position model. The record is from RNAcentral. Lineage: Bacteria; Pseudomonadati; Pseudomonadota; Gammaproteobacteria; Enterobacterales; Enterobacteriaceae.
UGAGAAUGUGCCUUCGGGAACCGUGAGACAGGUGCUGCAUGGCUGUCGUCAGCUCGUGUUGUGAAAUGUUGGGUUAAGUCCCGCAACGAGCGCAACCCUUAUCCUUUGUUGCCAGCGGUCCGGCCGGGAACUCAAAGGAGACUGCCAGUGAUAAACUGGAGGAAGGUGGGGAUGACGUCAAGUCAUCAUGGCCCUUACGACCAGGGCUACACACGUGCUACAAUGGCGCAUACAAAGAGAAGCGACCUCGCGAGAGCAAGCGGACCUCAUAAAGUGCGUCGUAGUCCGGAUUGGAGUCUGCAACUCGACUCCAUGAAGUCGGAAUCGCUAGUAAUCGUGGAUCAGAAUGCCACGGUGAAUACGUUCCCGGGCCUUGUACACACCGCCCGUCACACCAUGGGAGUGGGUUGCAAAAGAAGUAGGUAGCUUAACCUUCGGG